GGGGCCGUAGUCUAGCUUGGAAGGAUGCCAGCCUGGGGCGCUGGUAGGGGGUACCCCCAGUAGGGUCCCGGGUUCAAAUCCCGGCGGCCCCA
This 92-nucleotide transfer RNA is filed under the name Thermoprotei archaeon. RNAcentral's name for it is "tRNA-Pro". It matches the Rfam family "tRNA". Rfam says of the family: Transfer RNA (tRNA) molecules are approximately 80 nucleotides in length. Their secondary structure includes four short double-helical elements and three loops (D, anti-codon, and T loops). The record is from RNAcentral. Lineage: Archaea; Thermoproteati; Thermoproteota; Thermoprotei.